This 378-nucleotide unclassified non-coding RNA is filed under the name uncultured Chlamydiales bacterium. RNAcentral describes it as "contains 16S-23S intergenic spacer region". The record is from RNAcentral. Lineage: Bacteria; Pseudomonadati; Chlamydiota; Chlamydiia; Chlamydiales.
UCCUGGUUAACCCAGGCAGUCUUGUUAGAGUUCCCGAACUUAAUCGUUGGCAACUAACAAUAAGGGUUGCGCUCGUUGCGGGACUUAACCCAACACCUCACGGCACGAGCUGACGACAGCCAUGCAGCACCUAUAUAGAGACCCUUUCGGGAGGCUCCCUUUCAGGAGUUGUCCUCUACAUUUCGAGCCUGGGUAAGGUUCUUCGCGUUGCAUCGAAUUAAACCACAUGCUCCACUGCUUGUGCGGGCCCCCGUCAAUUCUUUUGAGUUUCACCCUUGCGAGCGUACUUCCCAGGCGGCAUACUUAACGCGUUAGCUCCGGCACAAACAGGGUUGAAUCUGUUUACACCUAGUAUGCAUCGUUUACAGCGUGGACUAC